UCUUUAAGGCCCCUGAAGGAACGUUUAAGACUAAGACGUUGAUAGGCUGGGUGUGUAAGUGCAGCGAUGCAUUGAGCUAACCAGUACUAAUGAUCCGUGAGGCUUAACCUUACAACACCGAAGGUGUUU
RNAcentral lists this ribosomal RNA (129 nucleotides) under Serratia marcescens. Its description in RNAcentral is "partial 23S ribosomal RNA". The stretch from base 1 to 111 matches the Rfam family "Bacterial large subunit ribosomal RNA", at positions 2810 to 2925 of the family's 2925-position model. The record is from RNAcentral. Lineage: Bacteria; Pseudomonadati; Pseudomonadota; Gammaproteobacteria; Enterobacterales; Yersiniaceae.